CAACCUCAACUCAUAUGGGACUACCCCCUGAAUUUAAGCAUAUUAAUUAGGGGAGGAAAAGAAACUAACAAGGAUUUUCUUAGUAGCGGCGAGCGAAAAGAAAUCAGAUCAGCACUAAGUCACUAAAUCUAUAUGGCAAAUGUGAGAUGCAGAAUACGGAACAUCAACAUUCUAGUAUGAGAAGUUAACGAUUUAAGUCCUUCUUAAAUGAGGCCAUUUACCCAUAGAGGGUGCCAGGCCCGUAUAACGUUAAUGAUUACUAGAUGGUGUUUCCAAAGAGUCGUGUUGCUUGAUAGUGCAGCACUAAGUGGGUGGUAAACUCCAUCUAAAACUAAAUAUAACCAUGAGACCGAUAGUAAACAAGUACCGUGAGGGAAAGUUGAAAAGAACUCUGAAUAGAGAGUUAAAUAGUACGUGAAACUGCUUAGAGGUUAAGCCCGAUGAACCUCUUUUUUACGUUAUGGAAAAUUCAUCAUUAGAAUUGUAAUAUUUUUUUUACCGUAUUAUAAUAAUAGUGUGCAUUUU
RNAcentral lists this non-coding RNA (525 nucleotides) under Drosophila virilis. RNAcentral describes it as "Eukaryotic large subunit ribosomal RNA". It matches the Rfam family "Eukaryotic large subunit ribosomal RNA", at positions 1 to 509 of the family's 3401-position model. The record is from Rfam by way of RNAcentral. Lineage: Eukaryota; Metazoa; Arthropoda; Insecta; Diptera; Drosophilidae.